RNAcentral lists this ribosomal RNA (1565 nucleotides) under Hexaprotodon liberiensis (pygmy hippopotamus). RNAcentral's name for it is "16S ribosomal RNA". It matches the Rfam family "Bacterial large subunit ribosomal RNA", at positions 383 to 2925 of the family's 2925-position model. Lineage: Eukaryota; Metazoa; Chordata; Mammalia; Artiodactyla; Hippopotamidae. The record is from RNAcentral.
ACCAAAGCUAGCCCAACUACCCCACCCCACUAUAAGUAAAACAAAGCAUUUAACCAUCAACUUAAAGUAUAGGAGAUAGAAAUCUGAGACUAUUAGGCGCAAUAGAGAUAGUACCGUAAGGGAAUGAUGAAAGAAGCAACAAAAGUAUCAAAAAGCAAAGAUCACACCUUGUACCUUUCGCAUAAUGAUUUAACUAGCAAAACCUUAGCAAAGAGAACUUAAGCUAAGCCACCCGAAACCAGACGAGCUACUUAUGGACAGUUUACCAGAACAAACUCAUCUAUGUGGCAAAAUAGUGAAAAGAUUCAUAAGUAGAGGUGAAAAGCCUAACGAGCCUGGUGAUAGCUGGUUGUCCAGAAAAAGAAUCUCAGUUCAAUUUUAAAAUUACCAAAAGCCCAAAUCAAGCCUAAUGUAAUUUUAAAAUUUAGUCUAAAAAGGUACAGCUUUUUAGACAAAGGAUACAACCUUGACUAGUGAGUAAAUUCAAACAACACCAUAGUUGGCCUAAAAGCAGCCAUCAAUUAAGAUAGCGUUCAAGCUCAACAAUAAGCACAACCUAAUCCCCAUAACAAGCAAACAACUCCUAGCCUAACUACUGGACUAUUCUAUUCAAACAUAGAAGCAAUACUGUUAAUAUGAGUAACAAGAAACAAUUCUCCCAGCACAAGCCUAUGUCAGUAGCUGAUAAUAUACUGACAGUUAACAACAAGUAAAUAUAACCUAACACUAAAACAUUUACCCCAUACACUGUUAACCCAACACAGGCGUGCACCCAAGGAAAGAUUAAAAAAAGCAAAAGGAACUCGGCAAACACAAACCCCGCCUGUUUACCAAAAACAUCACCUCUAGCAUCACUAGUAUUAGAGGCACUGCCUGCCCAGUGACAAUCUGUUAAACGGCCGCGGUAUCCUGACCGUGCAAAGGUAGCAUAAUCAUUUGUUCCUUAAAUAGGGACUUGUAUGAAUGGCCACACGAGGGUUUUACUGUCUCUUGCUUUCAAUCAGUGAAAUUGACCUUCCCGUGAAGAGGCGGGAAUAAUGCAAUAAGACGAGAAGACCCUGUGGAGCUUCAAUUAACUGACUCAAUAAAAACAAAAUAGACCCGCAAGGCACAAUAAAAUCCUAUGUGAGUCAGUAAUUUUGGUUGGGGUGACCUCGGAGAAAAAAAAAUCCUCCGAGUGAUAAAAUCUAGACUCACCAGUCAAAAUAUAACAUCACUCAUUGACCCAAAAUCUUUGAUCAACGGAACAAGUUACCCCAGGGAUAACAGCGCAAUCCUAUUCUAGAGUCCAUAUCGACAAUAGGGUUUACGACCUCGAUGUUGGAUCAGGACAUCCCAAUGGUGCAGCCGCUAUUAAAGGUUCGUUUGUUCAACGAUUAAAGUCCUACGUGAUCUGAGUUCAGACCGGAGCAAUCCAGGUCAGUUUCUAUCUAUUAUACAUUUCUCCCAGUACGAAAGGACAAGAGAAAUGAGGCCUACUUCUAAUAAGCGCCUUAAAACUAAUUAAUGACAUAAUCUUAACUUAAUUAAAUAGUAUAAACAUAUCAGCCCUAGACCAGGGCACA